Molecule: long non-coding RNA, 1228 nt
Organism: Daphnia magna
Lineage: Eukaryota; Metazoa; Arthropoda; Branchiopoda; Diplostraca; Daphniidae
Exons: 4
Source: RefSeq, a predicted model, not a curated record
AUUGUGAUCAAAUACAUCUGGUGGACAAAUUUUGAACUUUUAUCAUUGUGAUGUAUUUUUGCUGCUUGAUCAUGAAGAAUGGAUGGUGUGUGUGUGUGGAUUAUGGUCCGUAUUCUUUGUGUUUUCUUAGGAUUAUUUAGCUCAAAUCUUAUGAGUUGGAGGAAGAUCAAUGCCACAUAUUCUGUAAACUGGAAUACCUCCAAUGGCUUCAAGUAGUAUUUGUAACCACAGCUGACUGUUACAGUUUUGUGAUACAUCCAUUUGACACUGCAAAGUGUUCCUCUUCUUUAUGAUGCCAAUGAUCAACAUCAUCACUUCGGCAUCCAAUUUGGCUCAUCUCCAGUUAGCCAGCCAUCGGUUAAUUUCAUCACCCCAUUUUGGAUAGGAAAAUGUUCAUCUAUGUAUUGCUGUGAAAUUGCCGUUCCUAACUUUAUCCAGUCUUUACCAUCCAUAGACUUAAUAUUAUUUUAAACUCUUCAUCCCUGCACUUUCCGUCUUCGUCUGUGUCUUCGGUUCAUCGUUGCUUCGCCAGGUCUUCGCAUCGUUUCCGUUUCGUCGCCACUUUCUCCAUUUUCUCAUCGCUGUUUCUUGGUCUUCGCCAUUGUCUCAUCGCCGUCUUUGUCUUCGCCAUCGUCUCAUUGCCGUUUUUAUAUUCGUCGUAUCUUCGUCCUUCGCAACGAUGGAACAAUCAGAUCCAGAAAAAAAUUCAUGGUGAUCAAGCGUGACCUCACCGUGGAACUUCUCGGGUAUCGUUUUGUUUUGUAUUUUUGUAUUGUAUAGUUAACCCGUUGGCUGCCACCCCGUUUGCUCCCAUUUUUUUUUUAGCCGUAGGGACCGAGCGCACUGCUUUGCCCCAUGGCCAUGGGGUAGGGCAGUGCUCCGCCGCAAGGCGGUUAGGCAAUGCACCAGUAGGGAAUUCUCUUUGUUCGAUGCGGUGAUGGUUUCCUGAGGGUGUGCAUUCCCUGUAAAGGUUUCCAUCGCCGUGUCACCCCGGACUUGUCUUUGGACAAGUCCUCCUUGGUCGGCGAUCCUUAAGACGCAAGACGUAGCAACUGUAGUUUAAGCAACCUACGGGUUGCAUGGCCUGGCAGCCAACGGGUUAACUAGUUUAUUGUAUGUGUAUGUAUGUAUGUAUUUAUAUUUGUAAUUAUAUAUGUAUUGUGUUGUAUGUAAAAUAGUGGUGGAAUUGUGGGUGGAGGAGGGACAAUAAAACAAUUCUUUCGUCAAA